CCUACGGGAGGCAGCAGUGAGGAAUAUUGGUCAAUGGACGAGAGUCUGAACCAGCCAAGUAGCGUGAAGGAUGACUGCCCUAUGGGUUGUAAACUUCUUUUAUAUGGGAAUAAAACGUUCCACGUGUGGGAUUUUGUAUGUACCAUAUGAAUAAGGAUCGGCUAACUCCGUGCCAGCAGCCGUGGUAAUACGGAGGCUCCGAGCGUUAUCCGGAUUUAUUGGGUUUAAAGGGAGCGUAGGUGGAUUGUUAAGUCAGUUGUGAAAGUUUGCGGCUCAACCGUACAAUUGCAGUUGAGACUGGCAGUCUAGAGUACAGUAGAGGUGAGCGGAAUUCGUGGUGUAGCGGUGAAAUGCUUAGAUAUCACGAAGAACACCGAUUGCGAAGGCAGUUCACUGGACUGCAACUGACACUGAGGCUCGAAAGUGUGGGUAUCAAACAGGAUUAGAUACCCUUGUAGUC
This 460-nucleotide ribosomal RNA is filed under the name uncultured bacterium. RNAcentral describes it as "partial 16S ribosomal RNA". It matches the Rfam family "Bacterial small subunit ribosomal RNA", at positions 338 to 795 of the family's 1533-position model. The record is from RNAcentral.